UUGAGCUCUUGUUGCUCGCUGAGGACUUCAGUGAAUACACAGCACUUCCUGAACUGACUGAUAAGAGUCUAGAAGAUCUUCUGUGCAGCUUCCACUUCAUUCAGAACUGCUGUGUGAUCCUGAUCCUCUUGAUAUCUUCUUGUGGAAAGAUGAAGCUCUCUGUGUCUUACACAUUAGAGAUGACGUAGAGAUCACCAACAUUUAUAGUGACAAAGGUGCCUCGAGGAAGAGGGAGUUUUCAUUCCUCUCAGUACACAACUGUCAAAGAUUAAGCAGACGCCGCGUACAAAACAGAAGACACCUACACUCUUCUCGACACUGACGACGAAGUCUACAGUUUCUGCAGAGUUCUACGCUGGGAACGUCACCAGUUUCAUUGACGAAUUACCCAUGAAGAUUCUUGUGGAACAUAACAACCUCCGAAUCGUUGGUCACAACACCACCUUAAGCUUCUCCUCUUAACCUGGACUCCUAUCAUUGUUCCUGUCAUGUCCAUUUAUUUGGUAAUACUUUCCACUUUUUAAAAAACACCUUUCAUGUCCAUUUAUUGCUUUUAACCUCUGUACAUAUCUAAAAAUGUAUAUUAUAU
Long non-coding RNA from Carassius auratus (goldfish), 589 nucleotides. RefSeq lists it as uncharacterized. The record is from RefSeq and is a predicted model, not a curated record. The transcript is spliced from 3 exons. NCBI's taxonomy places the organism in Eukaryota, Metazoa, Chordata, Actinopteri, Cypriniformes, Cyprinidae.